Molecule: long non-coding RNA, 497 nt
Filed under: Callithrix jacchus (white-tufted-ear marmoset)
Lineage: Eukaryota; Metazoa; Chordata; Mammalia; Primates; Cebidae
Description: lncRNA (ENSCJAG00000053104.2)
Source: RNAcentral
AAUGGCACUGGGGGAAUUGACUCUGACGUUCAGAUAAGUAGCAGGGAGGAGAGUCUAAAGUCACCACUCAAUAAAAUAAUUUGGCACUUUUAUUAGGAAAUCGUUGUGUUUACCAAAGGAAAACCUCAUUUUGACUGGAAACACAGAAAAACCAAGCAAGUAAUUUCAAAGCCUGAGCAGGGAAGACUGAAGUACAUACCUGUCCCCAAGCAAAGCCAAGCUGAAUAGAAAAAGCCUUCUGGCCGGAGAGAGGACUUUGACUGGAGAAUAAGGCUCCCCACCGUAUCACCUUUCAAAUACUUGGAAAAAUCUUAGGGAAAGUGCUGGGCCUACUACAGAGUUGUUCAGCUUCUGGAGUCUUCCUGCCUUCUAGGUGCCUGUUCUAUCUCCCUGGGCUGCCUGUCAAGGAUGCCCUUGGUCUGCCAGAAAAAAGCAUUGCUGCUUUACCCUGAUACACACAGAAGUCUAGAUUCCAUUCACUCCAAUAUCAGUCCUUC